UACAGAGGUCUCAAGCGUUGUUCGGAUUCAUUGGGCGUAAAGGGUGCGUAGGCGGCGCGGUAAGUCGGGUGUGAAAUCUCGGAGCUUAACUCCGAAACUGCAUUCGAUACUGCCGUGCUUGAGGACUGGAGAGGAGACUGGAAUUUACGGUGUAGCGGUGAAAUGCGUAGAUAUCGUAAGGAAGACCAGUGGCGAAGGCGGGUCUCUGGAAAGUUCCUGACGCUGAGGCACGAAGGCCAGGGGAGCAAACGGG
RNAcentral lists this ribosomal RNA (253 nucleotides) under uncultured bacterium. Its description in RNAcentral is "partial 16S ribosomal RNA". It matches the Rfam family "Bacterial small subunit ribosomal RNA", at positions 524 to 776 of the family's 1533-position model. The record is from RNAcentral.